AACGGCGAGUGAAGAGGGAAUAGCCCAGCACCGAAGCCUGCGGCAGAUUUGCUGUUAGGCAAUGUGGUGUUUGGGUCGGCUAGUGGGAUUGCCACUCCACUCGAAGUCCAGCAUUGAGUAUGGUCACUGGAUUUGGCCCAGAGAGGGUGAAAGGCCCGUACGGGUGGAGGUUUCAGAUAUGUAAGGCAGUUCACCAGGCCGGCCUUAGAGUCGGGUUGUUUGGGAAUGCAGCCCAAAGUGGGUGGUAAACUCCAUCCAAGGCUAAAUACAAGCACGAGUCCGAUAGCGAACAAGUACCGUGAGGGAAAGUUGAAAAGUACUUUGAAGAGAGAGUAAACAGUACGUGAAACCGCAUGCAGGUAAACGGGUGGCGUCAAGCUGCAAGCCCAGAGAAUUCAGCUGACUAGGAUGUAUGUGCGUCUGUCGCAUGAAUCAGUCAGAAUAAGAUGUAACUAGUCCACUGGGUUACGGUGGGCCCUGCCGCAAGGUUUGGGAUAUGUGUACCGGGCGGAAGCCGGAGCAUACUGUUCGUCUGUUGGACUGUCUAGUCAGUGCACUUUCUCUGUGGUGAACACCACGACCGGUGGUAUUGCCAGUCUGCUAUAGCCAAGUUGUGUUCGGUCGGUUCUUGUAAUCAGCCGGGUGCGAUCACAGGCAAACUCAGUAUACGGCGUAAGGAUGCUUUGGUGUCUUUGCGUGUUAUCGGCUGCUGGUUGUCAACGGGCCUGCCCUAUGAUUGUUGUAAUCAUCACUGGGUGACUCGGUGGGUUAUGGUGGUAUGAAUAACUGUGCAAGGCAUCGGUGUUUUCGGCCUCAAAUGCAUCCUGCAUACACAUUACAAGUGAUGUGGGGCGCCAUUGCUGCGUGCCUAUUGUUGAGUCUGAUUGGCGUGUCGCCUGCAUAAAGUGGGCCCGCUUUUGGCUUGAUAUGGGUUGUGUAGUUGAUGGUGUCUCUUGUGUAGGUUGUGGUGGGUCAAAUAGUCAGUGGUGUAGUGGUAGACGAGCUACCCGACCCGUCUUGAAACACGGACCAAGGAGUUUAACAUGUAUGCGAGUCAUUGGGUCCUACGAAACCCAAAGGCGCAGUGAAAGUAAAGCUUCGACUUGUUCUCGGAGUGAGGUGAGAUCCUGCCGUUACUCGCAUCAGCCUUUUGUCAGCAUCAGGUUAAGAGCGGUAGGCGCAUCACCGGCCCGUCCCAUGAUGUGGCCAUUGGAUGUCUGUAGUUGUCGUUCGCGGCGGCUAUGGUGCCAGUGCGUC
Molecule: ribosomal RNA, 1257 nt
Filed under: Symcallio riseri
Lineage: Eukaryota; Metazoa; Platyhelminthes; Cestoda; Tetraphyllidea; Onchobothriidae
Description: partial 28S ribosomal RNA
Rfam family: Eukaryotic large subunit ribosomal RNA
Source: RNAcentral